AGAGUUUGAUCAUGGCUCAGGAUGAACGCUAGCUACAGGCUUAACACAUGCAAGUCGAGGGGAAACGACAUCGAAAGCUUGCUUUUGAUGGGCGUCGACCGGCGCACGGGUGAGUAACGCGUAUCCAACCUGCCCACCACUUGGGGAUAACCUUGCGAAAGUAAGACUAAUACCCAAUGAUAUCUCUAGAAGACAUCUGAAAGAGAUUAAAGAUUUAUCGGUGAUGGAUGGGGAUGCGUCUGAUUAGCUUGUUGGCGGGGUAACGCCCACCAAGGCAACGAUCAGUAGGGGUUCUGAGAGGAAGGUCCCCCANAUUGGAACUGAGACACGGUCCAAACUCCUACGAGAGGCAGCA
This 355-nucleotide ribosomal RNA is filed under the name uncultured bacterium. RNAcentral describes it as "bacterial SSU rRNA". It matches the Rfam family "Bacterial small subunit ribosomal RNA", at positions 8 to 353 of the family's 1533-position model. The record is from RNAcentral.